Molecule: ribosomal RNA, 253 nt
Filed under: uncultured bacterium
Lineage: Bacteria
Description: partial 16S ribosomal RNA
Rfam family: Bacterial small subunit ribosomal RNA
Source: RNAcentral
UACGAAGGGUGCAAACGUUGCUCGGAAUUAUUGGGCGUAAAGCGCACGUAGGCGGUAUUGCAAGUCGGAUGUGAAAUCCCUCGGCUCAACCAAGGAAGUGCAUCCGAAACUGCCGUACUUGAGUACUUAAGAGGAUCGCGGAAUUCCCGGUGUAGAGGUGAAAUUCGUAGAUAUCGGGAGGAACACCAGUGGCGAAGGCGGCGAUCUGGGAAGAUACUGACGCUGAGGCGCGAAAGCUAGGGUAGCAAACGGG